Molecule: non-coding RNA, 119 nt
Organism: Pteropus alecto (black flying fox)
Lineage: Eukaryota; Metazoa; Chordata; Mammalia; Chiroptera; Pteropodidae
Source: Rfam
GUCUAUAGCCAUGCCACCCUGACCAAGUCCGAUCCUGUCUAAUCUCAGAAGCUCAGCAGGGUCUGGCCUGGUUAGUACUUGGAUGGGAGACCACCUAGGAAGACCAGGUGCUGUAGGUG